RNAcentral lists this long non-coding RNA (220 nucleotides) under Elaeis guineensis (African oil palm). Its description in RNAcentral is "long non-coding RNA (EGUI_LNC033480)". The record is from RNAcentral. Lineage: Eukaryota; Viridiplantae; Streptophyta; Magnoliopsida; Arecales; Arecaceae.
AUCUAAGCGGCGAUCGAGCUCCUUCAGCUUGUGGUUGUAUUCAUCUAGUCAUCGCUGAGACACAUUAGGAUGUUUAGAAUAUCCUAGGGUAGAAUCUUUUCCAAAAGAGAAAAAACUUGACGGAGACUGGGGUCCCUUGUGUGGAGCUCAUCGAGGGGAAGGAGAUCGGCGAUCGUCAGAGUUGGCACAUGGAGUGUGCUAGGGGUCAGAUUGCGGUGAC